CGCGCCGUUAGGACCCGGAGACGGCGUGCCGGCGGUGUACGGCCUGGACGUGACGGACGCGUCGCGGUGGGAGGAGACUGUGCUGGACCCCGCACUGCAGAUACUGGAGAGCCUGAGCAAGAGCGAGGAGCCAGCUGUUCAGCCAAUCAGAGUAGAGGAGGCGCAGCGGAGGAACAAGCGCAGCCGCCACGCGUGUGACCAGUGCGACAAAGUGAUCAUCGGGGACCUGGAGUGGACCGCUCACCUGAAGUCCAAAAAGCAUCGGCAUCACGUGAGGAAGAGGUUGAAGUCCGACCCUCCUCCCUCUGCUGCAGGGACGGUGGGGGGCGACUCGGAGGACUCCGUUGCCCCGGGCCGCACGGAGGCGACCCCCGGGGAGGUCGUCGCCGGGACGCCCCCUGUGACCUCGUGAGAGUGGACUCGCUUUCUGCUGCCAAUGGAGUCACAUUUGAACCCUGGUGCCUCCAUUGAUCUCAUUUUGUGGGCUGGACUCCGUCCUGCAGAUUUGUGAAUUGAUAACGUUGCACCUCAGUGUCGCAGGACCUGAAGCACCUGAAGGACGACUCUCACGGAUCCUAGGAGUUUUAUUUUGAAGGAGAUAAAAGAAGUACACGAGGUGCUUUUACAUGAUUAAGACAUAGCUUAAUUUAAAAGAACAAAUCUGACAUUUGCUGCAACCAGGAACUAUCAUUUUUAAAUGCCCCCCCCCCCCCCCCCGGCCAUACGGCCCGUAAUUACACAAGAUGUUUGUUAGCAUUUCAUGGUUUGUUUUCUUUGUCUUUCACUUGAACCUUCAUGCACUUUAAAAACAAACGUUUUUUUUCAAUAAACCAAAGAAGCUUCUCA
Pungitius pungitius (ninespine stickleback) is the source of this 846-nucleotide RNA transcript. RefSeq lists it as uncharacterized. NCBI's taxonomy places the organism in Eukaryota, Metazoa, Chordata, Actinopteri, Perciformes, Gasterosteidae. The transcript is spliced from 3 exons. The record is from RefSeq and is a predicted model, not a curated record.